UACUUCUUCGGACAAUAUACAAGGUGCUGCAUGGUUGUCGUCAGCUCGUGCCGUGAGGUGUCGGGUUAAGUCCCAUAACGAGCGCAACCCCUAUCAUUAGUUGCCAUCAGGUCAAGCUGGGGACUCUAAUGAAACUGCCUACGCAAGUAGUGAGGAAGGCGGGGAUGACGUCAAAUCAGCACGGCCCUUACGUCCAGGGCUACACACGUGCUACAAUGGCCGAUACAGAGGGCAGCUACCUGGUGACAGGAUGCAAAUCUCCAAAGUCGGUCUCAGUUCGGAUCGGAGUCUGCAACCCGACUCCGUGAAGUUGGAUUCGCUAGUAAUCGCGCAUCAGCCAUGGCGCGGUGAAUACGUUCCCGGGCCUU
Molecule: ribosomal RNA, 368 nt
Filed under: uncultured Sphingobacteriales bacterium
Lineage: Bacteria; Pseudomonadati; Bacteroidota; Sphingobacteriia; Sphingobacteriales
Description: bacterial SSU rRNA
Rfam family: Bacterial small subunit ribosomal RNA
Source: RNAcentral